Molecule: long non-coding RNA, 172 nt
Organism: Poecilia latipinna (sailfin molly)
Lineage: Eukaryota; Metazoa; Chordata; Actinopteri; Cyprinodontiformes; Poeciliidae
Exons: 3
Source: RefSeq, a predicted model, not a curated record
CUUCACACAUGGCGCUCACCUUCAGAGGGUGGCACGAAUUCUUCAAACGAGAAAAGUCGUCCAUAUUUGUUGCACCUUGAAACCAGAUUUCCUUUCCUCUUUGGCAUGACUAGUUGGUCGGUGGGCAGGGAUUGUGCCUCCCGAUCAGUUUUUCUGUCACAAAAAAACACUU